Molecule: RNA transcript, 1459 nt
Organism: Helianthus annuus (common sunflower)
Lineage: Eukaryota; Viridiplantae; Streptophyta; Magnoliopsida; Asterales; Asteraceae
Gene name: glycerol-3-phosphate acyltransferase, chloroplastic
Exons: 10
Source: RefSeq, a predicted model, not a curated record
GGGUACACAAAUCAAUUUUAGGGUUUCUCAUUCUCGUAGCAUUUUAUCCGCCCCAUAGAGCUGCUUUCUCUCCAGGCGAUUCAAAAGGAGAACUAGGGUUUCUCUUGGCGAAGCAAGAUCUGGCUUUCUCAAUGACACCAGAUCAAUGAAUCUCUCUCUAUACGACACCAAAUUGACUGAGUUUGAAGGUGGUGAAGGGUUCGAAUUCGAUUUUAGGGUUUUUAAGAUGCACAUCGCCAGAUCUAGGGUUACGAAAUCUUUUUUUCACCUCCUUUCUCUUCACCUCAUACCAUCACAGUUAGUGUGACAAUGAAUUAGGGUUUUCACUUUGGGGGAAACUUUGCAACAUUUUCAGAUUCGGCUGAUUUCCUCUCAUCAGCACCCGGAAGAAGUAUACUGCAAUCCUUGAAUCAAUUGUUCUUGCCUGACGUUGUAGGAAGGUGGAUACUACUCUAUCAAAUGGUACAUGUGCUCGAGCAGCUAUUUCUAGCGGCCUUUUAAAAGCCUGAAUGAUUAGAUAACGUGAUUAUUGCCUAUACAGUUGCUUUUUUUCUCCAGUGGCAAUACCUCAUUUGUCUCAAGAACUACUUUCUGACAGCUAAGAAUACAUGGUGAUAGAUACAUAUAAAAUCAUAGUUCUUAAAGCGAGCGCCCAGGCGCAAAUAAAGUCCCGGGCCCAACAAAUCGCUCUGAGUGCGCCUCACGCCUUUAAUCUUCAGGUUAGUUCAUAAUCUUCUGCAUGGGCAGGAAUUUGUUAUGUGUAUUAAAAAAAAACAUAUGAAUGAUGUUCUUGAGCUUGCUGAGAUGAAAAGGAGAGCAAACACAAGAAGUUUAAAGGAGAUGGCUUUGCUUUUGAGGGGUGGAUCUAAGCUAAUAUGGAUUGCAGCAAGUGGCGGCAGGGACAGGCCCGAUCCAAUCACAAAUCAGUGGUCUCCGGUGCCAUUUGAUGCCUCUGCUGUGGACAACAUGAGAUCCGCUUCAGAACUGCUUCAGAUCUGGAAAUGGUUCGAUUACUCAGGUUUAUUACGUUUUUAGAUUUCAUUUUUUUCAUCACGUCACAUGGUUACUCUGAAUUGUUUUGAAAGGCUUAGCCUGUGAAAAAAAUUUGCAUUCUGUCUCAUUCUUUCUGAAUUUAAACUCAAUUUAAGUGGAAAUGGUUCGAUUACUCAGGUUUAGAUUUCAUUUUUUUCCUGAUGUUACUUGAAGGCUGUUGGGUCGCUUACAGCAAAUGUGGUAAGUUCUGGUGACCUUUGAAUCAGUUAUAAUGCUGCCAUUUUGUAAGCAAUGCAGUUUUUUUCUUGCGGAUGCUAUUUUUGUUAGCGAGGAGCAGAUGUAAUAGAUGUUAUAGUCGUUUCUUUUGUAAUAGAUGUACAUUGUUAUUGACUUGUCCUUUUGUGAAAGAUGUACUAAAAUGUAUUUCGUGGUCGUUUACGUUUUCGUAUAUGUUGACUUUGGCUAA